CAAAGAGCGCAAGGGGAAUGCCUUGGCACUGGGAGCCGACGAAGGACGUAGCGAUCUACGAUAAGCCACGGUGAGCCGAAAGCAGGCAUCGACCCGUGGAUUUCCGAAUGGGGCAACCUGGCUGAAUAGAACUCAGUCAACAUACGGUGAAUAAAAUAGUCGUAUGUAGGGAACCGCCUGAACUGAAACAUCUAAGUAGGGCGAGGAAAAGAAAUCAACCGAGAUUCCGCAAGUAGUGGCGAGCGAACGCGGAAGAGGCCAAACCGAGAGUAGUAAUACUUUCGGGGUUCGGACAGCGGACGGUAUGCUGAAGGUUAGCAGAAGGACAUGGGACGGUCCACCAAAGAGAGUGAGAGUCUCGUAUGCGAAAACUGAAAGCAGCCAGCUGAAUCCAGAGUACCGCCGGACACGUGAAACCCGGUGGGAAUAUGGGGGGACCAUCCUCCAAGCCUAAAUACUACCCAGUGACCGAUAGCGUAUAGUACUGUGAAGGAAAGGUGAAAAGAACCCCGGGAGGGGAGUGAAAAGAACCUGAAACCUUGUGCUUACAAGCACACAAAGCACGUCAACGUGUGAUGUGGUACCUUUUGUAGAAUGGUCCGGCGAGUGAAUGUAACUGGCGAGGUUAAGUUCUUAAGGAACGGAGCCGAAGCGAAAGCAAGUCUGAAUAGGGCGUCUUAGUCAGUUGUAUUCGACCCGAAACCGGGUGACCUAUCCAUGUCCAGGAUGAAGUUAAGGUAAAACUUGAUGGAGGUCCGAACCCACGGUCGUUGAAAUGCCCGGGGAUGAGAUGUGGAUAGCGGAGAAAUUCCAAUCGAACCCGGAUAUAGCUGGUUCUCUCCGAAAUAGCUUUAGGGCUAGCCUCGACUGAACAUUACCGGAGGUAGAGCACUGAAUGGGCUAGGGGCCGAGAGGUUACUGAACCCUAUCAAACUUCAAAUGCCGGAAAAUGAUAGUCGGGAGUCAGACUGCGUGAGAUAAGUUUCGUAGUCGAAAGGGAAACAGCCCAGACCCACAGCUAAGGUCCCAAAGUACGGUUAAGUGGAAAAGGAUGUGGAGUUGCACAGACAACCAGGAUGUUGGCUUAGAAGCAGCCACUCAUUAAAAGAGUGCGUAAUAGCUCACUGGUCGAGUGACUCUGCGCCGAAAAUUUAACGGGGCUAAAUCGUACACCGAAGCUUGGGAUGUAUCUAUGAUACAUGGUAGGAGAGCGUUGAAUGCGGGGUGAAGUCAGAGCGAAAGCGCUGGUGGACUGCAUUGAAGUGAGAAUGCCGGAAUGAGUAGCGAGAUUUAUGUGAGAAUCAUAAAGGCCGAAAGACUAAGGUUUCAGAAGGAAGGUUCGUCCGCUUCUGGUUAGCCGGGAGCUAAGGUGAGGCCGAAAGGCGUAGCCGAUGCACAUACGGUGGAGAUUCCGUAGCCGUCGAAAUAUUUAAGCAAAGGGACACUUAUGAAGGACAUGACCCGGGCGAUGGUAGCCCCGGGCGUAAGGGACCGAAAACAAGUAGGGAAGCAUGUUUGGAUUAAGGCGAGAAAAGCUUUGUGUAUAUAUGAGACGUCCGUACCGCAAACCGACACAGGUAGUCAGGAAGAGGAUUCUAAGGCCAACGGGAGAAGGGUAGUUAAGGAACUCGGCAAAUUGACCCCGUAACUUCGGGAUAAGGGGCGGUGCGUAAGCACCCGCAGUGAAUAGGUCCAGGCGACUGUUUAUCAAAAACACAGCUCUCUGCUAAAUCGAAAGAUGACGUAUAGGGGGUGACACCUGCCCGGUGCUGGAAGGUUAAGAGGAGGAGUGCAAGCUCCGAAUUGAAGCCCCAGUAAACGGCGGCCGUAACUAUAACGGUCCUAAGGUAGCGAAAUUCCUUGUCGGGUAAGUUCCGACCCGCACGAAUGGUGUAACGAUCUGGACGCUGUCUCAACUGCCCACCCGGCGAAAUUGUAGUACCGGUGAAGAUGCCGGUUACCCGCGGCAAGACGGAAAGACCCCAUGGAGCUUUACUGUAACUUGAUAUUGGGUCUUGGUAUUCUAUGUACAGGAUAGGCGGGAGACUAUGAAACAUACACGCCAGUGUAUGCGGAGUCACCCUUGGGAUACCGCUCUUAGAGUACUGAGAUUCUAACCUGCGGCCGUGAAUCCGGUCGGGGGACAUUGUCAGGUGGGCAGUUUGACUGGGGCGGUCGCCUCCUAAAAGGUAACGGAGGCGCUCAAAGGUUAGCUCAGCACGGUCGGAAACCGUGCCUCUGAGUGCAAACGCAAAAGCUAGCCUAACUGCGAGGCUGACGGGCCGAGCAGUAACGAAAGUUGGAGUUAGUGAUCCGGCGGUAUGUGAAUGGAAAUGCCGUCGCUCAACGGAUAAAAGCUACCCUGGGGAUAACAGGCUGAUCUCCCCCAAGAGUCCACAUCGACGGGGAGGUUUGGCACCUCGAUGUCGGCUCAUCACAUCCUGGGGCUGAAUUCGGUCCCAAGGGUUCGGCUGUUCGCCGAUUAAAGUGGUACGCGAGCUGGGUUCAGAACGUCGUGAGACAGUUCGGUCCCUAUCUGUCGUGGGCGCAGGAUAUUUGAGGAGUGCUGUCCUUAGUACGAGAGGACCGGGAUGGACGCACCUCUGGUGCACCAGUUGUCACGCCAGUGGCACAGCUGGGCAGCUAUGUGCGGAACGGAUAAACGCUGAAAGCAUCUAAGCGUGAAGCCGCCUCCAAGAUAAGAUAUCCCAUAGCAUAAGCUAGUAAGACCCCUCAUGGACUAAGAGGUUGAUAGGCUGCAUGUGUAAGCGUGGUGACACGUUUAGCUUGGCAGUACUAAUAGGUCGAGGGCUUGACUU
Molecule: ribosomal RNA, 2819 nt
Filed under: human gut metagenome
Description: bacterial LSU rRNA
Rfam family: Bacterial large subunit ribosomal RNA
Source: RNAcentral